GUCAGAGUGCAGUGCAGACUCUCCCCUGCCCAGCCACAGGCUGCGUGGGGGAGGGGAAGCCAUGCGGCCUGGGAGAGAGACUGCAUUUUAGGGGGAUGCAGUGGUGACCCAAGGAGACCUGCUUCAGCAACCACCAGCACAGGAAUGGCAAGAACAGAGAAGAGUUGAAGAGGGUGUGGUGAUGCCCUCUGUCUUCAGGAAGAAGAUGAUCUCUGUUCUUGUUACGCACAAACUUCACCCUCUAGUUUUUGCUCAAAGCACAGCUUUAGCUACAAUAACAAAGAGGAAAUCAAUCUUUCUUGAAUCCCUAAUUUCCCAUGGAAUUAAAUGCCUCUUUCUCCUGAGAGAAAUGUUUCACCUUGUGGGUUGGGUAAUCUCUUCACUUUUCACUCUUUAACUGUUUUGAAAAAAAAAAAUAAAGCAUACAAUACUAAU
This is a long non-coding RNA of Vidua chalybeata, 435 nucleotides long. RefSeq lists it as uncharacterized. NCBI's taxonomy places the organism in Eukaryota, Metazoa, Chordata, Aves, Passeriformes, Viduidae. The transcript is spliced from 2 exons. The record is from RefSeq and is a predicted model, not a curated record.